GAUCAGCCCUGCACUGAGAAAGCCAUUUAUCUACUGUGGCACCGAAUUUGGAAGAUUUUCUGUUUGGACUUCCAGGCAACAUGGGAGAUGCUGAGAGCUGAAGCCCAAAGAGGUGUAAGGACUGACACCAUGUGAAUGGCAGGAAUGACUCAGCGAGUUCAGGAACCAAUCAGGUACAAAUUGUGGAAGAAAUCCUCGAUCAGGAUGAGCCCCAAGUUCUUUAUAUGCUCAAGGAAGGUACACUGCUUUGAAGAAGUCUUUAUCGCAUCUGAGCAAUAGC
RNAcentral lists this long non-coding RNA (280 nucleotides) under Pogona vitticeps (central bearded dragon). RNAcentral describes it as "lncRNA (ENSPVIG00000009296.1)". Lineage: Eukaryota; Metazoa; Chordata; Lepidosauria; Squamata; Agamidae. The record is from RNAcentral.